UAAACAUAAUAAACAUAAACAUAAACAUAAUCAUAAACAUAAACAUAACAAUAACAAUAACAAUAACAAUAAUAACAACAAGGAUAAGUAGUAUGAAACCCUUAUUUCUUGCUUGUAGCCGUCACUCCCUCACUUCUUUUCCUUCCCUCUCCUCUUCUCUUCCUUCACCUCUGUGACCCGCCACAGCCACCAAGGGGCAGCCGGCAGCCUACACAGCUACCCAGCAGCAGCAGUCGCAGCCUCCACGCACACACCAAGCCCAGCAGCAGCAGCCCCGCUACAUCCACCUACAAAACAGCAGCAACUGCUGCAUUUUCGUGCACCACCACCAGCAGCUACGGCUAUCUGCACUACCACCAAGGCCCACCGCGGUGUCUUGACCCUCCUGUGCAACCACCACUACAUCAAACACUUAUCAUCUCACCCCUCUUUUCUAAUUGCCCCAUUGUGUCCACUUCAUAAGAGGAAAGUAGAACCUUAGUCGGGUGAUUUUUGUAACUUGUGGUCGUGCAGUGACGCUUGCAGUCAUUAUGUUGAGCAGCAGGAGGAUCAUAGCUUGACAUGACAGGUAUAGGAGCUUCUUUUGCUUUGCAUGGGGGAAAGAGCGAAGUACGGUCGUAACAUUUGUGUACAAGUUGCCUAAUGCUUGUAGCUUCUAUAUUACUUCUAAAGUUUUCUUUUGGGAUUGUAUAAUUUCUUACGUAUGGAGCCAUGUGACUCCUUGUAUGAUCCAUAGUUCCUCUGCGUAGUUUUUGGAUGUAUAGUAGUGAGAAUACUCCUUUGGUAUCAGUCAAAUCGAUGCGUUAACACUGGAACCACGAUCCUCAUUAGAGUUGAUGAUUUGAGAAGCCGACGAUGAUUCAUUCCAUCGUGACGUAUUUUGAAAGGCAUUAAAAGCUUUAGAUUAGUUUAGUUAUGUUAAUCAUUUAUAUAUCCUUGUCACAC
This is a long non-coding RNA of Amaranthus tricolor (Joseph's coat), 945 nucleotides long. RefSeq lists it as uncharacterized. The transcript has 3 exons. The record is from RefSeq and is a predicted model, not a curated record. NCBI's taxonomy places the organism in Eukaryota, Viridiplantae, Streptophyta, Magnoliopsida, Caryophyllales, Amaranthaceae.